AUGGGCACCCCUUUUCAGGUGCGUGGAGAUGUAGCUAGGUCCCUGAUGUACAUGGCUGUAAGCUAUGGGUCUGGACAGCAAGAUGCAGCUCCACAUUUGGAACUUUCUGAUUCGUCUAGUAUUCAAAGGAGGAGGAUGGGUCUCCUUUCAGCUCUUCUAGAAUGGAAUGAACUAGAUCCACCAUCGAGAUCAGAGCAACGUCGGAAUGAUAGAGUUUGUAGCCUUUACCAGCACAACAGAAAUCCUUUUGUCGAUCAUCCAGAGUAUGCUAAUCUUGUAUGGAGAAACACACCUAGCAAAAUUCCAAGUGUGAUGGAAACAAUAGUGAAAGGCUUGGGUCAAUGA
This 345-nucleotide ribosomal RNA is filed under the name Triticum aestivum (bread wheat). RNAcentral describes it as "partial small subunit ribosomal RNA". Lineage: Eukaryota; Viridiplantae; Streptophyta; Magnoliopsida; Poales; Poaceae. The record is from RNAcentral.